AAUAGAGGAGCGGGCGAGCAAAAGUACUUCCGCCGCACAAAAAAACGGUUUUUUGGCGGAAGAAAAGGGCAUCCCCGCCGAAGCGCAGGGCGGAGCCGGACCCCUGCUGCUGGGCGCACGGGUCAAUACCUUUGCGACUGUCACCGAUGUGGAGAACUAUUU
RNAcentral lists this non-coding RNA (162 nucleotides) under chicken gut metagenome. RNAcentral describes it as "Lysine riboswitch". It matches the Rfam family "Lysine riboswitch aptamer". Rfam says of the family: Riboswitches are metabolite binding domains within certain messenger RNAs that serve as precision sensors for their corresponding targets. The record is from RNAcentral.